GUAUUGGGAUGAUUGGCAGCACAUAUUCUAAAAUUGGAAUGAUACAGAGAAGAUUAGCAUGGCCUCUGCACAAGGGUGACACACAAAUUCAUUAAGUGUUCCAUAUUUAA
RNAcentral lists this small nuclear RNA (110 nucleotides) under Salvator merianae (Argentine black and white tegu). Lineage: Eukaryota; Metazoa; Chordata; Lepidosauria; Squamata; Teiidae. The record is from RNAcentral.